GGAUGCGAUCAUACCAGCACUAAAGCUCCGGAUCCCAUCAGAACUCCGAAGUUAAGCGUGCUUGGGCGAGAGUAGUACUAGGAUGGGUGACCUCCUGGGAAGUCCUCGUGUUGCAUCCC
RNAcentral lists this ribosomal RNA (119 nucleotides) under Oryza sativa Indica Group (long-grained rice). Lineage: Eukaryota; Viridiplantae; Streptophyta; Magnoliopsida; Poales; Poaceae. The record is from RNAcentral.